CCUGCCAAGCCUCUUCACCAUGCUUAAAUUGGCAGGU
This 37-nucleotide non-coding RNA is filed under the name unclassified sequences. RNAcentral describes it as "abiF RNA". It matches the Rfam family "abiF RNA". The record is from Rfam by way of RNAcentral.